This 467-nucleotide ribosomal RNA is filed under the name uncultured bacterium. RNAcentral describes it as "partial 16S ribosomal RNA". It matches the Rfam family "Bacterial small subunit ribosomal RNA", at positions 28 to 507 of the family's 1533-position model. The record is from RNAcentral.
GACGAACGCUGGCGGCGUGCUUAACACAUGCAAGUCGAACGGAAAGGCCCUGCUUUUGUGGGGUGCUCGAGUGGCGAACGGGUGAGUAACACGUGAGUAACCUGCCCUUGACUUGGGAUAACUUCAGGAAACUAGGGCUAAUACCGGAUAGGAGCUCCUGCUGCAUGGUGGGGGUUGGAAAGUUUCGGCGGUUGGGGAUGGACUCGCGGCUUAUCAGCUUGUUGGUGGGGUAGUGGCUUACCAAGGCUUUGACGGGUAGCCGGCCUGAGAGGGUGACCGGCCACAUUGGGACUGAGAUACGGCCCAGACUCCUACGGGAGGCAGCAGUGGGGAAUAUUGCACAAUGGGCGGAAGCCUGAUGCAGCAACGCCGCGUGCGGGAUGACGGCCUUCGGGUUGUAAACCGCUUUCGCCUGUGACGAAGCGUGAGUGACGGUAAUGGGUAAAGAAGCACCGGCUAACUACGUG